CAAAGUGUUAGCUUUCCUCACGCCGCUCACAUUUCAUUGCUCUCACAGUGGAAUGAUCCAGAGGUAUUGGUCAGAAGGAGAAAUAUCACGUAUUAUUUCUCAAUGAUUUUCUUCACUGGCGUUUCGGUUAAAAGCAAUGCUGCUGCAGGGCGACAGGUCAAUCAUGGUCAAUUUCCCUGCUUGGCCCAGUGCCACAUUGAGACAAGCAAUGCAAGCUGGGUGAAAACAAACCUGUGUCUCUGCUGUUAAAACAAAGUCUUCCGGAAUUGAAAUCACACUAUUGUACAAUUAACUGGAACAAGGCCUGUCGUUGUUCCUGGACGUAGGAGUCUCCGGGCAGGCUUCCCUUAACAUCCUGCUUUCUACAGCUCUGCUCCUCCUGGGUGGCAACAAGCAGCUUUUCAUAUUGAAUCAAGUGUUGUCGGGCUAACACAGACCAGAUCCACACAGGUGCCGCAGACUGACAGAGGACACCACACCGAUGGAACAAAAAUGUUACACAGGUUGUUGCAUUAGAGAGCCUCUGUGAAAAAUAAAGCAGA
Salvelinus sp. IW2-2015 is the source of this 542-nucleotide long non-coding RNA. RefSeq lists it as uncharacterized. The record is from RefSeq and is a predicted model, not a curated record. NCBI's taxonomy places the organism in Eukaryota, Metazoa, Chordata, Actinopteri, Salmoniformes, Salmonidae.